GCCGGAUUAGUGAAGUGGUAUAACGGCUGUUUCGUAAUCAGUUGUCAUCGGUUCGAUUCCGGUAUCCGGCACCA
RNAcentral lists this transfer RNA (74 nucleotides) under Microbacterium phage Big4. RNAcentral's name for it is "tRNA-Thr". It matches the Rfam family "tRNA". From Rfam's summary of the family: Transfer RNA (tRNA) molecules are approximately 80 nucleotides in length. Lineage: Duplodnaviria; Heunggongvirae; Uroviricota; Caudoviricetes. The record is from RNAcentral.